UGUGCCUCAAAAAUAUAUAAAUGGCGGUGAUUAUAAUUAUAAGAACAACCCACAAAGCUUAGCUAGCAGCCACUCUUCCCCUUCUCUCUCCGAGUCUAACUCACGCUGUGUGUUUGCUUUCUCCGCGUCUCCUUAGCCUCUGCUUCUGGGGGACUUUCCCCCGCCUAGCCGAUAUUACCUCUCUCACCCACCACUAUCUGCUCAAAAGACGACAUUCUCUCUCUCUCUCUCUCUCUCUCUCUCUCUCUCUCUCUCUCUUAGGGCUAUAGCUGCUGCCUUGUGACCAUCAUCAUCUUUAUAUGCGUGAUCCCUGCCAUUUGUUUUUCAGGCGGAAAUGUAGAAGCGAUAAGACCGCCAAAAAGAAGACAGAUUUUGCAUGAACAAGAAGGUUAGAUAUCUAGUAUUAAUAUUAUUACUUCAAUCGGCUUAAAAGGAGCUAGGCCAGGGUCUCGACUUUCAACUAGUAAGGAAAAGCUCCCUCACAAAAGGGAAAAAAAGGAGGCUAUCAAGGAAAUAGAAAGAGGAAAGAGAUGUUAUAGUCUGUUCAAAGGACGUACAGCCAAGAAAGACCGAAUCAGGGAAGGGGAAAAGAGAGGAGCCGACUGAGAAAAGCUCCUAGGUCUUUAGCAGAUUAUCCAUCCCACAACGACUAUCAUCAUCAAUAUCAAUAAUAGCAUAUCAGUAGUUUGAAGAAAGAAAAAGAGGAGAAAGCGGAGCAUGGCAUCAUCAUCGAAUUCUCCAUGUGCAGCGUGCAAGUUUCUGAGGCGUAAAUGCCAGCCGGAGUGCGUUUUUGCACCGUAUUUCCCCCCGGACCAGCCCCAGAAAUUCGCAAACGUGCACAAGGUGUUUGGUGCAAGCAACGUGACCAAGCUUCUGAACGAGUUGCACUCACACCAGCGAGAGGACGCCGUGAAUUCUCUCGCCUAUGAGGCUGACAUGCGUCUCCGGGACCCUGUCUACGGCUGCGUGGGAGUCAUCUCUCUCCUCCAACACCAACUCCGGCAACUCCAGAUGGACCUCAGUUGCGCCAAAUCUGAACUCUCCAAAUACCAAAACUUGGGCAUCACAAGCCACGGCCUAAUAGCCGCCGCCGCCGCCGCUGCCGCCACGAAUCACAACCACCAGCAGAACUUGGGGAUUAAUCUGAUCGGUGCCGGCCGCGACCACCAUCACUACCAUCACCAGUUCUUUCCUAGGGAUCAGCAACAGAUGAUAAGGAGCUUUGAUUCGGGAAACAACUAUGAUGCAAGCCUUUUAGCCAUGAACGUCUCGGCAAGCAUAGGACAACUGAGUCAGUUUCAGCAACCUAGGACUGCUACUGGGGACGACCGACGCACCAUUGAUCCCUCUUAGAGUUUCUUUACUUUCAUGGAUUAAAAAAAACUUGCCCAAACCCAUAAUAGGGCUUGGACCUUUGAAGGAUUCAGCUUUGAAAGAAGAUUUAGGAGGGAGGGAGAGAGAGAGAGUUGGGU
This is an RNA transcript of Juglans regia (Persian walnut), 1472 nucleotides long. It is a transcript of the gene named protein ASYMMETRIC LEAVES 2-like, with no coding region annotated. Lineage: Eukaryota; Viridiplantae; Streptophyta; Magnoliopsida; Fagales; Juglandaceae. The transcript has 3 exons. The record is from RefSeq and is a predicted model, not a curated record.